ACUCCUACGGGAGGCAGCAGUGGGGAAUAUUGCGCAAUGGGCGGAAGCCUGACGCAGCGACGCCGCGUGGGGGAUGACGGCCUUCGGGUUGUAAACCUCUUUCAGUAGGGACGAAGCGCAAGUGACGGUACCUACAGAAGAAGGACCGGCCAACUACGUGCCAGCAGCCGCGGUAAU
This 177-nucleotide ribosomal RNA is filed under the name uncultured bacterium. RNAcentral's name for it is "partial 16S ribosomal RNA". It matches the Rfam family "Bacterial small subunit ribosomal RNA", at positions 335 to 524 of the family's 1533-position model. The record is from RNAcentral.